CAUUUUUGUACGGCAACCAACUAAAUAAUCGCUAUUUUGUACGGUUAUUGUAUAGAAAUAGCCGUAUGAGGCGGUUUAUACGGCAACUGUACGAGAACAAACGCAGCCUUAAAUGGUGCAAGCGGGAAAGCGCUGCGGUGUGAGUGAGGAUGUGACACGC
RNAcentral lists this small nucleolar RNA (160 nucleotides) under Neurospora crassa. Its description in RNAcentral is "box H/ACA snoRNA ACA20". The record is from RNAcentral. Lineage: Eukaryota; Fungi; Ascomycota; Sordariomycetes; Sordariales; Sordariaceae.